UGAAGACCUCUCUAGUGCUUAAUAAUUGUAACAUAUAUAUGCUAUGGAUCACAAUACUUGGCACAGGUCCUCUACCAAUAUAUUUUUUAAAAAGGAGAAAAAGAAAGGAGUAGAAGGGUGAAGAAGGGGAAGAACUAGAAGAAGACGGAAAAAGGAGAAGGACGAGAAUAAGAAAGGAGAAAACAAAGGAGGCAGAGAAAGAGGAGAAGCAGCAGAAGAAAAAGCAGAAGAAGUGAAAGAAGCAGAAGAAAAAGCAGAAGCAGCACCAGAAGAAGAUGAAGCAGAAGAUUACAAAGCAGUAGACGAUGAAGCAGCAGCAGAUGCACAGGGAGCAGAAAAAGAGCAGAAGAAUGGGAGUGGGCAGUGCGUGUGUGGCAGGGGGGGCUGUACGUUAACCAGAAGCUAGAAGAACCAGACGUUUUCAUGGCAGUUCUCAAUGGUUACUGAAUAACACCUUUCUCAGAUUUGAUUCUAGGAACUUUGCCCUGUUAAGCCAAGAAGUCGUGACAAACAAUAGAGGUGGGAAGACAGGAAACACAAAAUAUAUCCCAUCUAAAUUUUAAUAUCAGUAACAUCCAAUCAAUACUAACUCCACUGAUUUCUGCAACAUCACCUAUUAACAGACCAAUCUGAUUUUGCACCUGAGUUGACUGAAGUUUGGAACAUCAGCUAGUGUUGUGAAGUGUGAAAAAAUGCUUUAAUAAACAAGAAUUAGUGCUAGCGAUAA
This is a long non-coding RNA of Neopsephotus bourkii (Bourke's parrot), 727 nucleotides long. RefSeq lists it as uncharacterized. The record is from RefSeq and is a predicted model, not a curated record. The transcript is spliced from 2 exons. Lineage: Eukaryota; Metazoa; Chordata; Aves; Psittaciformes; Psittacidae.